Molecule: ribosomal RNA, 351 nt
Filed under: uncultured bacterium
Lineage: Bacteria
Description: bacterial SSU rRNA
Rfam family: Bacterial small subunit ribosomal RNA
Source: RNAcentral
GGGCCCGCACAAGCGGUGGAGUAUGUGGUUUAAUUCGAUGCAACGCGAAGAACCUUACCAGGGUUUGACAUCCUGCGAAUCUCUUGGAAACGAGAGAGUGCCUUCGGGAACGCAGUGACAGGUGGUGCAUGGCUGUCGUCAGCUCGUGUCGUGAGAUGUUGGGUUAAGUCCCGCAACGAGCGCAACCCACGUCGUUAGUUGCCAGCAUUUAGUUGGGCACUCUAGCGAGACCGCCGGUGAUAAACCGGAGGAAGGUGUGGAUGACGUCAAGUCAUCAUGCCCCUUACAUCCUGGGCUACACACGUACUACAAUGGCCGGUACAGAGGGCAGCCACACCGCAAGGUGGAGCG